RNA transcript from Caretta caretta (loggerhead turtle), 10648 nucleotides. It is a transcript of the gene named BCL2 associated transcription factor 1, with no coding region annotated. Lineage: Eukaryota; Metazoa; Chordata; Testudines; Cheloniidae. The record is from RefSeq and is a predicted model, not a curated record.
GUGACGUGUCCUAGUCUCGCGCUGCCGUAGUCCUCCUCUCUCUUUUCUCUAUGGUUUUCCCUCCCAGUCUCUUCCUCACGGCGACGGGAAAUGGCCGCCGAGCUGCGAUAAGGGAGCGGGGCAGCUGGGAGCGCCGCCCGCCAGGAAUUAAUAUUUCUGAGAGCACAUUUUCAGAAUUUUAAAAUCACUUCAUUGAUUAACAUCUAGAGGCCUAAGAAGCAAUCCACUGAAGAAAAUGGGUCGAUCUAAUUCUAGAUCUCAUUCUUCAAGAUCAAAGUCCAGAUCUCAGUCCACUUCUAGGUCAAGGUCCAGAUCACAUUCUAGAAAAAAGAGAUACAGUUCUAGGUCUCGGUCUAGGACCUAUUCACGAUCUCGCAGUAGGGAUCGUGUUUAUUCUAGAGAUUAUCGCAGAGAUUACAGAAAUAAUAGAGGAAUGAGACGCCCCUAUGGUUACAGAGGAAGAGGUAGAGGGUAUUAUCAAGGAGGAGGUGGUAGAUAUCAUCGUGGAGGUUACAGACCCGUCUGGAAUCGAAGACACUCCCGAAGCCCUAGGCGGGGUCGUUCACGUUCCAGAAGUCCAAAGCGAAGGUCUGUGUCUUCCCAGAGGUCCAGGAGCAGAUCUCGUCGAUCUUACAGAUCUUCCAGGUCUCCAAGGUCCUCUUCAUCUCGUUCUUCAUCCCCAUACAGCAAAUCUCCUGUCUCUUCCAAAAGACGUGGGUCUCUGGAAAAGCAGGCUAAGAAAACUGAGGGAGCUCCUUUGCAAGAUAGCCCUUUAAAAAGUAAAUCACAGGAUGAACAGAAAGAUACAUUUGAACAUGACCCAUCUGAGUCCCUUGAUGACUUUAACAAAUCAUCAGCAGCUUCUGGUGACAUUUGGCCUGGCCUUUCAGCAUAUGAUAACAGUCCAAGGUCACCCCAUAGUCCUUCUAUUGCCUCCCCACCCAGUCAGAGUUCAUCUUGCUCUGAUGCCCCCUUGCUCAGCACAGUUCACUCAGCUAAAAACACACCUCAACAUUCACAUUCCAUUCAACAUAGCCCUGAGAGGUCUGGCUCUGGUUCCCUUGGAAAUGGUUCCAGUCGCUACAGUCCUUCUCAGAACAGCCCAUUGCAUCACAUCCCUUCAAGGAGAAGCCCUGGAAAGACAAUCCCUUCACAGAGUGCUCCACGUGAGGAGGCUCGAAUGCGCUCAUUUUAUCCCGAAGUUGGGGAACAGGAAACUGCAAAGGGUGGAAAGUUUCUAAAAAGGUACACAGAUGAAGAGUCUAGAGUAUACCUGCUUGAUAGGGGUAAUACCAGGGAGAAAGAGGCCCAGAAGGAGAGAGGAUCAGAAAAAGGGAGGACAGAGGGAGAAAGGGAAUGGGAGGAUCAGGAAGCUUUAGAUUAUUUCAUUGGUAAGGAUGCUGGGAAGCAAAAGUUUAGUGACUCUGAAGGGGAGGAGACAGAGGAGACAGAGGAUUAUGGACAGUUCAGAAAAUCUGUCCUCGCAGAUCAGGGUAAAAAUUUUGCUACUGCAUCUCACCGGAAUGCUGAGGAGGAAGGAACCAAAUACAAAUCUAAAAUUUCAAUGAAGGGCAAUAGAGAGAGUGAUGGAUUUAGAGAAGACAAGAGUUAUAAACUUAAAGAGACUGGCUAUGUAGUGGAAAGGCCUAGUGCAACAAAAGAUAAGCACAAGGAAGACGACAAAAGUUCUGAGAGAAUAAUGGUGAAGAAAGAAACUCAGUCACCUGAGCAGGUAAAGUCUGAAAAGCUCAAAGAACUCUUUGAUUACAGUCCCCCUCUACACAAGAAUCUGGAUGCGAGAGAAAAAUCCACCUUCCGAGAGGAGAGCCCACUUAGGAUCAAAAUGAUAGCCAGUGACUCCCAUCGUCCUGAAGUUAAGCUCAAAAUGGCACCGGUACCUCUUGAUGAUUCCAAUAGACCAGCUUCCUUGACUAAAGACAGGCUGCUUGCUAGUACGCUUGUCCAUUCUGUCAAGAAGGAGCAAGAGUUCCGAUCCAUCUUUGACCACAUUAAGUUGCCACAGGCCAGCAAAAGCACGUCAGAGUCAUUUAUUCAGCACAUUGUGUCUUUGGUUCAUCAUGUCAAAGAACAAUACUUCAAGUCAGCUGGAAUGACCCUAAAUGAGAGGUUCACUGCAUAUCAAAAAGCUACUGAAGAACAUUGCACCCGGCAAAAGAGCCCAGAAAUACACAGGAGGAUUGACAUCUCUCCAACUGCCCUGAGGAAGCAUACCCGUUUAGCAGGUGAAGAGAGAGUCUUUAAAGAAGAAAGUCAAAAAGGAGAUAAAAAAUUAAGAUGCGAUUCUGCUGAUCUUCGGCACGACAUUGACCGUCGUAGAAAAGAGCGAAGUAAAGAACGAGGGGACUCUAAAGGUUCCAGGGAAAGCAGUGGAUCAAGAAAGCAGGAGAAAACUCCAAAAGAUUACAAGGAUUACAAACCUUACAAAGAUGACAGUAAACAAAAAAGAGAGCAAGACCGUUCUCGAUCUUCCUCAUCUUCAUCCCCGUCUUCCGCCUCAUCCAGUUCACGAGAAGAAAAAGAUGGCAAGAAAGAAAGAGAUGAAGAGUUCAAAACCCACCAUGAGCAGAAAGAAUAUUCAGGUUUUACAGGAGUCAGCAGGCCGAGAGGCACCUUUUUUCGAAUUAGGGGCAGAGGAAGAGCCAGAGGAGUUUUUGCUGGAACAAAUAUUGGUCCCAGCAACUCAAAUGCUACUUUUCAAAAGAGACCGAAGGAAGAGGAGUGGGAUCCUGAAUAUACCCCAAAAAGCAAGAAAUACUUCUUGCAUGAUGACAGAGAUGAUGGUGUGGAUUAUUGGGCCAAAAGAGGAAGAGGCCGUGGCACUUUCCAGCGUGGCAGAGGGCGGUUUAACUUCAAAAAAUCAGGUAGCAGUCCAAAGUGGACACAUGACAAAUACCAAGGGGAUGGGCUUGUGGAAGAUGAAGAAGAAACAAUGGAAAAUAAUGAAGAAAAGGACAGACGCAAAGAAGAAAAGGAGUAAUGUGAAGAAAAAUUCCAGCUGAAAAAGCAGCCCUUGCACCACCCACACAGCAUUUUUAAUAUUUUUUUGUCGUCAAAUGAAUACCACCCCCACGAUGGGAGCUCUCUUCUGAACAGAUCUAAAUAUGACAAGUAUAGCUGUAGCAUAACAGGUGCUACGUUUCUCCGUCCAUAUACCGCUACUGGGGAAAUGCCUCAACUGUUUGUGCAACAGCCCAAAAAGUAGCUUGACUUCUAUACACUGUAACCGGAAGAUUUGUCCUACAUUCCAAAUGCAUGUUCCAUUUUUGCAUAUGACAGAACAAGGUAAACCACUAGUGGGAAAAGAGUUACUUUUAAGAAAAUCUGUUUAGUAUAUUUCAGACUUUGCAUGCAUAAUGUAUGAAGUCUUCUGAAUGGAGCACUAGUUGCUAGCUUAAAACUUUUCAAGCACAGUGAAUAACACAAAAUGACACUCUCAAGACUACGUUUUGAAGAGUUUUAAUUGGUGACUUGUGGGUUACCAAUAGAAAGUUUUAGUCAAAAAGUUUGUGGCAUUAUUAAUCCAGCUGCCCUUUGUGUCAGUCUUCGUUCCAGUUCAUAAAACUGCCUUUUCAAUUUCUUUACAUGGGCUUUCCUCUUCAGGUAAAUAUUCUGACAAGUGUGAAUUCUCUAUUAAGUUUACAGUCUUAUAUGGAAUAAAAAUCUAAAAGUUUUUAAAAGGAUGAAAUGUUAGAAUUUGUGCCUUACUGCUCUAAACAUCUUACAGAAACUUGAACAUUUUAAUGUAAGCUGAAACAGGUUAAAGAUACCAGUGAUAAGUUCUAAAACACAUCAACGUUUGAAAAACACACUGAGGCACUAAACUUCAAAUUGAAGCUAACUUGCUAUUAGAUUUUAAGAUCAUUAACAAGUUAAAACUGUAAGAGCUUUUUCAUUUAAUUCUCUAAAGUUGAGACUUACCUCCUUUCCAGCCUUGCAUACAAUCACUUGAGCUUCUAGCUCUUUUGUCGCAGCAAAAGCAAAAGCUAAGGAUUAAAAAAAGGUUAUGCAAUUUUAAAAAUAAUCUUAUUACUACUAGAUUGAGGAUGCAAGUUCAAAAUGCUGUGUUUGUGUGCAUUUUGUUAAAGCAAAGCAAGUUGUAACGCUGAAAUGUAAAAGUGGAACUAGCAGUAAAGUAUUAAAUGGAGGCUUUCAAACCAUUUCAGCUAUGUUGUUUAUAACAUAGCCUGCUUAAUUCCAUAAAUACCGGGCUUGAAAAGUUUCCUGCAAACCUACAAACCAGAAGUAAAAUGAUGGUCAAAAGAAGGAUAGCUCAGUGGUUUGAGCAUUGGCCUGCUAAACCCAGGGUUGUGAGUUCAAUCCUUGAGGGGACUGUUUAGGGAUUUGGGGCAAAAAUUGGGGAUUGGUCCUGCUUUGAGCAGGGGGUUGGACUAGAUGACCUCCUGAGGUCCCUUCCAAUCCUGAUAUUCUAUGACGGCUUGUAAAAGCUUUAUUUGUAUCAAGGCUCACCCAUUUCUAGGAUAAUAUAGUAGCACACACUUAGGACUUGGCUACACUUGCAAGUUAGAGCGCAUUAAAGCAGCCCUGGGCGCCCUUACUCCUGAGGUGUCCACGCUGGCAAGGCAUGCAGAGUGCCUGGACUCUGCAGCUGGAGCACUCCUGGUAAUCCACCUCCACGAGAAGCAUAAAGCUUGCUGCGCCCUGGCUGAAACGAGAUGUUGCAUUACUGUGCUGUGAUUGGCCUCCGGAAACGUCCCAUAAUCCUUUGAAGUCAAGUGGCCACUCUUCUCAUUGUUUUGAAAUUGGCCGCAGGAAUGCGGAUAUAGACAAAUUAGAGGAUUGGGCCAAAAGAAAUAUGAUAAGGUUCAACAAGGACAAGUGCAGCAUGCACUGCUAUAGACUAGGGACCGAGUGGCUAGGCAGCAGUUCUGCAGAAAAGGACCUAGGGGUUACAGUGGACGAGAAGCUGGCUAUGAGUCAGCAGUGUGCCCCUGUUGCCAAGAAGGCUAACGGCAUUUUGGGCUGUAUAAGUAGGAGCAUUGCCAGCAGAUCGAGGGACGUGAUCAUUCCCCUCUAUUUGACACUGGUGAGGCCUCAUCUGGAGUACUGUGUCCAGUUUUGGGCCCCAUGCUACAAGGAGGAUGUGGAAAAAUUGGAAAGAGACCAGCAGAGGGCAACAAAAAUGAUUAGGGAGCUGGAGCACAUGACUUAUGAGGAGAGGCUGAGGGAACUGGGGUUAUUUUGUCUGCAGAGAGAAGAAUGAGGGGGGAUUUGAUAGCUGCUUUCAACUACCUGAAAGGGGAUUCCAAAGGGGAUGGAUCUAGACUGUUCUCAGUGGUGGCAGAUGACAGAACAAGGAACAAUGGUCUCAAGUUGCAGUGGGGGUGGUUUAGGUUGGAUGUCAGGAAAAACUUUUUCGCUAGGAGGGUGGUAAAGCACUGGAAUGGGUUACCUAGGCAGGUGGUGGAAUCUCCUUCCUUAGAGGUUUUUAAGGUCAGGCUUGACAAAGCCCUGGCUGGGAUGAUUUAGUUGGGGAUUGGUCCUGCUUUGAGCAGGGGGUUGGACUUGAUGACCUCCUGAGGUCCCUUCCAACCCUGAGAUUCUAUGAUACCCCUUUCAAAGCUCCAUUUCUCACAGCCUACAUGCUGGUCUGCUCCGGGACAAAGCAAACCAUUAGUGUGGAAUGCUGCUGUUGUGAGGGGACUAGGGGGGGUCUGUUGCUGUCUGAACUUACAAGACAGCAUGCUGACAUGCUCUCAGCCCCCAAAACACAGUCUCUCCCCCAACAUACAUACAACACACUCCCUGUCACGCUUCACCCCACCACCACCCAUUUGAAAAGCACAUUGCAGCCGCUUUCACACUGGGAUAGCUACCACAAUGCACCGCUCUUUGUGGCGUUGCAAAGCUGCUAAUGUGGCCAUGCCAGCCAGCAUGCUUGCAGCUGACAGUGUAACACAUGGCAGCAUUUUCCCUGUAGUCUCCGAAGGCUGGUUUAAUUCCCAGCGCUGUACAUCUGCAAGUGUAGCCAAACCCUAAGUAAUAUAGAAGUCUGUUUAUAUAAGUGUUUUAAGUGAUGUGGAAGCCAGUAGUAUCUGGAGAGUUUCAUAGUAGGAUGUAUAAGAUCUACACCAACUUAAAGAUGUUAGAGCUAGUGUGAAAUACAGAUCUCAGUACUGUAGUAUGGGGGGGGCACUAUGUCUCAGCAUAGAAUCUAGUUGGCUAAUUUGUUAAGCAAACCUUCCAUCUGAAAAGGACAAUACCCUCUCUUCUUAUACACCCAGUUGUGUGGAUGUUUAUGGUCCAACUUUUUUUGCUUAAUUCCCUUCUUAGUGGGACUUAUUUUUAUUGCUAAGAAUCUCCUGUUAAAACUAUAAUAAGAAUAUUAAGUGUAAUGGAGACAGGGAGGUAAGUCUGAAAACAAUGGAUCAUGUUAUAAUGUCAUUUAUUUAUGUGUCACAUGUAAUGUUUCAUAAGCAGUGUAGUUCUAGGUGGCUUAAUGAAAUUUCAUAACCAGAAACAACAAGCACCAAAUGCUACAGAACUCUGGCCCACCAUCAAGUGCCCAGUGUGAGCAUCCCUGCUCUAGAGUAAUGAGCAUCUUCAGUUUUCCUUCUGCUCAGAAAGCUAGGAGUAAAAUUGCAUAUUUAACUUGGUCAUUUUCCCACCCCCACAUUCAUAAUCUAGGACUUAUUUGUUUGAAUGCAAAGAUGGUUGGUAGAUAAGACAUUAAAUACAGGAUAUAUUUCAAUAGGAAAUUCUACCAUGAAAAGUGUGUGCACAGGGAAGCUAUAUAGUAAGUUGAUUAACAUGAAGGCAUUUCUUUUGCAAUUGGAGCCUAGAAAAGAACUUGUUCAGAAACAGAUAAAUGUAAGUGAUCAAACAAGACGCUUAAGCUGUCUAAUACGACUUCUCGAACUGAAAUUACGUAUAAAUAGCACUAUUUCUGAAGAUUCUAUCAAGUUAAUGCUGUCAUACUGUACUUCACUCUGCCCUGGAAUAUCAUACCCUCUUUCUAAAAGAAACUAUAGGAACACCACAUACUGCUUAUUACACAUGUUCUUGCAACAGUCCGCUCCCCACAAGAUGAUCUCUGCUCCAUUUGUCACCUUAUUGGCAACAAUGGUAAUAAGAGCAUAGAUACUACAUAUCUAAUUUUGCUAAUGUAAAUAGGGAGAGUUGAGGGAGGGGAAAGGAUGGCUCUGCUUCACAGGUCUUGGUAAAAAGGUUAAACUUUCAAUUUGUUUACAUCUUUUUGAAGGGAAGUAGUGGAAUGAGUGUUAUAGUUCAGUAAAUAUUUGAAUCAUUAGCGUAACUAAAAGAUUGGGCGUUCUACUCCAUUAGUGCUCUGGUAAUUUGUAGAAAUUUCAGACAAACCUUACCUCUGUUACAAGAUCUGAUUUUACUCUGACUUCAGAGACGACUGAAAUGUAAAACUGAUUUACUCCUCUGACUUUCAACAAAACUUCUUCACACAGACUUCUGGUAUGCUAAAGUAGAGGGAAUGAGAGGAGUAAUGGAAAAACAACAAUCAAACUGAGUUCAGUAUUCAGAAACUAGUAUCCCAGAGUUCACCCUGAUAAUUAACAAUUAAUGUGAAUCUAAAACUCAAAGAAGGCAGCUAGAAACAAGUCAGUGGGGGUAGACUUGGACUUGUACUAUAAGAAAACUGAAUACUUGUACUGUAACAAAUCUAAGUAAUUUGAUCCAGCAGCCUAGUUGUUAGGCACUUGAUAGUAUUUGAAUUUCAGUUGGGUCAUCUAGGCACUACUCUUAAGUGGGCUGCUUGGUGCCUUAUAUCCAUAGCAUGAGAAUGUCUGCCUAAAGGGAUUUAGUAACUUAAAUAGAUCAGAUCGGAGAAAGCAUUAUCUCUGUUUUACAGAAAGGAAACUGGCACAGUGACUUGCCCAAGGUUGCAAAGUAAGUCGGUGCAAAGUUAGGAAUUAAAUUCAGAUCUUCUGAAUCCCUGUCUAUUAUCAUAACAUCCUUCCUCUAUUUGGACCAGCCUGAGAGUUAGAUAACAGAAGCCUACUGCCCUUGCGUAUGGUGUGAAUGGAGCUGCCCACUACCAGUCUGAAGAAAGUAUUUCUGGAUUACAGAAUAGAUAGGAAGUGGCAAAUUAUUCUGUGACCUGACCUCUCUAGAAACUUUUUAAAUGGACAUUCUCCUAGAGAUUUCAGUUGCAGAUUCCCUUGGAGAACCCACAUGAGAAAUUACACAAUUAAAAUUAGGAAUGGUGAUAUAAAGACAAUUAUUUGAGCUUGCAUAAAAGGCACUGAAUAAAGCUUAAAUUCCUAUCACAUUAUCUAGUCCUUCAUGAAGAGUAAUGGUCUUUGCAUUCUUGUUGGAACUGUUAAGUUGUGCUUUGAACUUUUUAUUGGAUACUUCUGGAGUACCUGUUUGGCUGAUACGAGGAGUAUUCAGUGCAUUUUGUAUUUGUCUUCAACUUCUAGCAAGAGAAUCAUUGGGAUCACAUCUACAGGAAAAGUAGUAAGAAUUAUCUAGUUUCUUUCCUACUAGAGCCUUUUUGUUGCUACAUUGAAUUUUGAAUUAAGGUAGACCAGUCUGGAUGAGUUAGUGGUGGACAACACUGACACAACAGUUUAAUAAAGCCAGAACUGCUUCCUCUCCUAUAAUACCACAGAGAGGCUAUUCUAUUGAGGAGACAUCUGGGGUAUUUUUUCCCAUUCCAGACUUAAAGGCAGGAUCUUGCAAAUUUUCUCUCCAGGAACCAACUCCAAGAUCCUUUCAGUGUUUAUUUUGCAUCCCCUAUCAGCUCCCCUAUCUUCUUGGGGGAAGAAAAGUAAAAUGGACAGUACUAUGCAGCUCUUUUGCUUACUGGAAACUUCAGUUCUUUCUGCUCUGUAAACUCCAGCUGCUUUGGGAAUUGCCCCUGCCCCAAACCCCCCCCCAAAUAGCUCGGGGAGGCCUGAGCCAUAAACUGCUCUGCUGCUACUACCCCCUUUAACCAUUAUUGGUGGCUUGCUAGCUUUGAUUUGCCACAUCCCAAAGCGGCUUUUCAAAUGCUGCCAACAGUUGAACUGCAGGCUGCAGUAGGCUUCAGCCUCCCUUGCGUACUGCCACGUUUGGAAACAUCUCCCAUCUUAACUAUGGUGCCCACAGCUUAGCUAGUACAGUUUUUGGUCAGAAUUCUUUAUUUGGGUCUGGGUCUUGUCUUCUAGAAGCAGUGAUGUCAUCUUUAGCAGAAGAGGGAGAUGCCGUCGUCCCUCUCUUGCUCUUUACUUCAGUGUACGGAGACUGCUGAAGCUACAUUCAGCUUCAGAUGUAAUGUCUCUGCUUCCACCUCAUAUAGAAACUGCAUGCUCCAUCUGAGGCUAGUUUUCAAUUCCCUUUCUGGCUCUUCUUCCCAUCCUGGAUAAAAGGGAGGAGGAUUUUCUGUUCAAUUGGAUCUCCCCAGCCUGCUGAAUAAGAGAGAAGAAAAUCUCUCCUGGAUGUAGCGUUGACCAGAAUAGCAAUGGAUGAUGGUUUUUGGGCAUAGGUUGCUUCUAAGGCCCUGCACUCCUGUCUGAACCCAGAAAGAAAUCACGCUCAAUACUCUGUUCUCUUCCACUUAGCUUCAAGAUCAAAGUGUCUUUGAAUGAAACCAAGUAAACUGAUUUUCUGAACUUUUAUAUGGGUGUGUAUUAUCUUACUGCUACUUUGUUUACUUUAAAAGGACUCUUUUCUUCUGUCCCUCCAAUCAUUUCCUAGCACAUUCUUCAGUUUUAGGCAUAUGAAGACAACCUCAUACGAUGCUGGAGACUAUUAAACACCAGUCUGCAAUAUUGAUCACCAGCUUCCUCAUUCAUUACAGGUCAGAUGACUCAGCUCAUGAAUUCAAUACUUUGAAGACUGAAAAUAAUGAAAUAGCUAAUCUUAUAUACAAACAUGCUGAGAUGCCCUGCCCACCUUCCAGAAGUGUCUAAAUUCUCUUGCUUGAUAAGUCCAUCCACAUUUAACAUCCAGUCCCUUUUGCUAGCCACAUCCUCACUUAUACAGUUUUAAUCCUUCCACAUCCUAACUCUCUAACUUAUUCCCUAAUAGGCAUAAGAACCUUGAUGUUAAUUUCCUUUUAACUUCUUAAAGUUUUCAUUCACAAAUUGAAACUAGGGCCUGGUGUAUUUCAAGUAUUAAAACUUACACUUUGUUAUUUAAAAUACAUGAGUAAGUUUAAAAUGCUAGAACUUGAAAGAAUGCCAUAGAUUUUUUUUUUUAAUUGUGUUAAUCCUGGUCAUAGCUUAGAAGUUGCAAACUCAGACUUAUUACCUUUUCUUCAAGUUCUCCAACCUUUCAGUCAUGCCACAGUUGUUUGUCCUACAGUAGAACCCCGUGUUACGAACACCUGGGGAAUGUAGGUUGUUCGUAACUCUGAACAAAAAAACUUUCAAAAGUUUACAACUGAACAUUGACUUAAUUCAGCUUUGAAACUUUACUAUGCAGAAGUAAAAUUAUGCUUUCCCUUUUUUAGUAGUUUACAUUUAACACAGUACUGUACUUUAUUUGCCUUUUUUUUUUUUGGUCUCUGCUGUUGUCUGAUUGUGUACUUCCAGUUCCCAUGAGGUGUGUGGUUGACUGGUUAGUUGUAACUCUUAUGUUCAUAACUCUGAGGUCCUAUGUAAUUGCAUAAUUGGAAGAACUCUCUGAAAGAAAAUAAAGUGCCUGCAAAAUU